UAUCCCGAGUAGCAUGGGACACGUGGAAUCCCGUGUGAAUCAGCCGCGACCACGCGGUAAGGCUAAAUACUCAUAGGUGACCGAUAGUGCAAAGUACCGCGAGGGAAUGGUGACAAGAACCCCAGUAGGGGAGUGAAAUAGAACAUGAAACCGUAAGCUGACAAGCAGUGGGAGCCAACAUAGUAGGUGACCGCGUGCCUGUUGAAGAAUGAGCUGGCGACUUAUAGGAAGUGGCUAGGUUAAAGAGUUAGAUCUGGAGCCUUAGCGAAAGCGAGUCUGAAUAGGGCGUUUAAGUCACUUUUUAUGGACCCGAACCCGUGUGAUCUAAUCAUGACCAGGAUGAAGCUUGCAGCUUAAGCUGAAUUGGAGGUCCGAACCGACCGAUGUUGAAAAAUCGGCGGAUGAGUUGUGAUUAGGGGAGAAAUUCCAAUCGAACACGGAGCUAGCUGGAUCUCCCCGAAAUGCGUUGAGGCGCAGCGGUGACGAUUAUUUAUAAUGGACUAUCUAGGGGUAAAGCUACUGUUUCGAUGCGGGCUGCGAAAGCGGUACCAAAUCGUGGCAAACUCAGAAUACUAGAUAUAGUCUUCCGUCAACCAGUGAGAUUAAGGGAGAUAAGUUUCUUAAUCAAGAGGGAAACAGCCCAGAUCACCAGCUAAGGCCCCUAAAUGGUUACUGAGUGGAAAAGGAUGUGAGAAUGCUGAAACAACCAGGAGGUUUGCUUAGAAGCAGCCACCCUUGAAAGAGUGCGUAAUAGCUCACUGGUAAAGCGUUUUUGCGCCGACAAUGGCCGGGACUAAGUAACCUGCCGAAGCUGUGAUAUUUUUAAGAAUAGUAUUUUUAUUUUGAUUUUUAAGAAUAGGAUUUUUAUUUUGAUUUUUAAGAAUAGGAUUUUUAAGAAUAGGUAGGGGAGCGUUCUGUUUUGGGUGAAGUUAUCACGUAAGUGUUGAUGGACGAAACAGAAGUGAGAAUGUCAGCUUGAGUAACGAAAACAUUGGUGAGAAUCCAAUGCCCCGAAAACCUAAGGGUUCCUCCACUAGGUUCGUCCAUGGGGGGUUAGUCAGGUCCUAAGGCUAGGUCGAAAGGCGUCGUCGAUGGCAAACAGGUUAAUAUUCCUGUACUGAUUCUAUUGGGAACCAAGGGACGAAGUAGGCUAAACUGGAACUACUUUUGGAUUUUAGUGGAAGCGUUUAGGUGUUGAUGACUAGAAUAAAAACUAUGUCAGAGCUAAGGCGUGAUCCCUAUUCUAUACUCUGUAUAGAGUAGCCAGUGAUGUCAAACUUCCAAGAAAAGCUUGAACACCAUAACAAUAGAUUCACCUGUACCUGAAACCGACACAGGUAGGUUGGUAGAGUAUACCAAGGGGCGCGAGAUAACUCUCUCUAAGGAACUCGGCAAAUUAGCCCCGUAACUUCGGAAGAAGGGGUGCCCUUUUCAUAAAAGGGUCGCAGUGACCAAGCUCCGGCGACUGUUUAUCAAAAACACAGGUCUCCGCAAAGUCGUAAGACAAUAUAUGGGGGCUGACGCCUGCCCAGUGCCGGAAGGUUAAGGAAGUUGGUUAUUAAGAAAUUGAGAAGCUAACAACUGAAGCCCCGGUGAACGGCGGUCGUAACUAUAACGAUCCUAAGGUAGCAAAAUUCAUUGUCAAGUAAGUUUUGACCUGCACGAAAGGCGUAACGAUCGGAGCACUGUCUCGGAGAGAGACUCGGUGAAAUAGACUUGUCCGUGAAGAUGCGGACUACCUACACCUGGACAGAAAGACCCUAUGAAGCUUGACUGUAUCCUGGAAUUGGGUUCGGGCUUUUCUUGCGCAGUCUAGGUGGGAGGCUAUGAAGGUUCCUUUUCGGGGGAAUCAGAGCCGUCAUUGAGAGACCACUCUGGAAGAGCUAGAAUCCUAAUGGUGAUCUUUGAAUCAAGACACUUGACAGUUUCAGGUGGGCAGUUUAUUUGGGGCGAAUGCCUUACCUUUUAGUGGGGCCCUAUUAAAGCUUAAAGCUUUAUAAGUGUUUAUAAAGUGUUUAUUAAUAAUAGAAAAAAAUCGAAGAAAAAUAAAAAUAAAAAUAAUAUGGUAGCAAAAUUAACACCCUUAACAGAUAUACAAAAAGAAAAAUUAGUACCUUUACUAUUAACGGAUGCUUAUCUUGAACACAACAAUUCUUCAGGUAAUACGCGUUUUGGUUUCGAUCAAGUGAAUAGUCACUCUGACUUUUUUAUGGAAGUUAAAAACAGUUUUCAAAACUAUUUAUCUCCUACUAAUCAGAGACAGUUUGGUCCAUAUCCGGUGUAGGCGCUAGAGCAUUGAGAGGAACCUUCUAUAGUACGAGAGGACCUAGAAUGGGGGCGCCUAUGGUGUACCAGUUCUCACUCCAGUGGGAAACGCUGGGUAGCUAUGCGCCAAGUAGAUAAAAGCUGACAGCAUCUAAGUUUGAAGCUCACCUCAAGAUGAGUGCUCUCCAUUAGGUCGCGGCAAGACAAGCCGUUUAAUAGGCAUUAGGUGUACGAUCAGUAAUGAUUUUAGCCGAGAUGUACUAAAGACCGAUUGAUUUUGACCUU
Molecule: ribosomal RNA, 2550 nt
Filed under: Hyalomonas oviformis
Lineage: Eukaryota; Viridiplantae; Chlorophyta; Chlorophyceae; Chlamydomonadales; Chlamydomonadaceae
Description: 23S ribosomal RNA
Rfam family: Bacterial large subunit ribosomal RNA
Source: RNAcentral